Molecule: ribosomal RNA, 465 nt
Filed under: uncultured bacterium
Lineage: Bacteria
Description: partial 16S ribosomal RNA
Rfam family: Bacterial small subunit ribosomal RNA
Source: RNAcentral
GAUGAACGCUGGCGGCGUGCUUAACACAUGCAAGUCGAACGGAAAGGCCUCUGCUUGCAGGGGUACUCGAGUGGCGAACGGGUGAGUAACACGUGGGUGAUCUGCCCUGCACUUCGGGAUAAGCCUGGGAAACUGGGUCUAAUACCGGAUAGGACAAUGGUUUGGAUGCUGUUGUGGAAAGUUUUUCGGUGUGGGAUGAGCUCGCGGCUUAUCAGCUUGUUGGUGGGGUAGUGGCUUACCAAGGCUUUGACGGGUAGCCGGCCUGAGAGGGUGACCGGCCACAUUGGGACUGAGAUACGGCCCAGACUCCUACGGGAGGCAGCAGUGGGGAAUAUUGCACAAUGGGCGGAAGCCUGAUGCAGCAACGCCGCGUGCGGGAUGACGGCCUUCGGGUUGUAAACCGCUUUCGCCUGUGACGAAGCGUGAGUGACGGUAAUGGGUAAAGAAGCACCGGCUAACUACGUG